Molecule: long non-coding RNA, 402 nt
Filed under: Gallus gallus (chicken)
Lineage: Eukaryota; Metazoa; Chordata; Aves; Galliformes; Phasianidae
Description: long non-coding RNA NONGGAT003219
Source: RNAcentral
CCAGUAGCGUCAUAGAGCUAAGAUCCACUGAACAGGCCUCAGCCUUGUUUGCUGCACUUCACGCCAUGCUGUGGGGCUGGAAAUAUUGCUGGGAAACUGAUUUGGCUGGAUUUUAUCAUAACUGCCAGACUGGAAAUUCCAGAGAUGGACUUCAGCAGGACACAGAGACGCUUCGGCUGGACUCAGCACGGCAAAGUGCAGGCAGCAGUGGCUCCAGUUAUCCUGCAGCACCAGUGUGGGAGGCAGACCUCUCUGGCAGAGAGCUCUUGAAUCUGGCAGGCAAAACCAGGAUCUUUGCAGAAAUAUGCAAUGCACUUUUAACACUGAGCACUAUUGGCCCAUUGGACCAACUUGCCUAGUGAUGCAGAAGAUUUGCUUUCAGCAGAAAGGCUUUAAUUCAAG